Molecule: ribosomal RNA, 256 nt
Filed under: uncultured bacterium
Lineage: Bacteria
Description: partial 16S ribosomal RNA
Rfam family: Bacterial small subunit ribosomal RNA
Source: RNAcentral
UACGAAGGGGGCUAGCGUUGUUCGGAAUUACUGGGCGUAAAGCGCACGUAGGCGGGUAUUUAAGUCAGGGGUGAAAUCCCAGAGCUCAACUCUGGAACUGCCUUUGAUACUGGGUACCUAGAGUAUGGAAGAGGUGAGUGGAAUUCCGAGUGUAGAGGUGAAAUUCGUAGAUAUUCGGAGGAACACCAGUGGCGAAGGCGGCUCACUGGUCCAUUACUGACGCUGAGGGUGCGAAAGCGUGGGGGAGCAAAACAGG